CCACCGGCAGCUCGAGUGGUAGCUGUUUUUAUUGGGCCUAAAGCGUUCGUAGCCGGUUUGAUAAGUCUUUGGUGAAAGCUUGUAGCUUAACUAUAAGAAUUGCUGGAGAUACUAUCAGACUUGAAGUCGGGAGAGGUUAGAGGUACUACCGGGGUAGGGGUGAAAUCCUCUAAUCCUGGGAGGACCACCUGUGGCGAAGGCGUCUAACUGGAACGAUCUUGACGGUGAGUAACGAAAGCCAGGGGCGCGAACCGGAUUAGAUACCCGGGUAGUCCUGGCCGUAAACGAUGUGGACUUGGUGUUGGAAUGGCUUUGAGUUGUUCCGGUGCCGAAGGGAAGCUGUUAAGUCCACCGCCUGGGAAGUACGGUCGCAAGACUGAAACUUAAAUGAAUUGGCGGGG
Molecule: ribosomal RNA, 401 nt
Filed under: uncultured bacterium
Lineage: Bacteria
Description: partial 16S ribosomal RNA
Rfam family: Archaeal small subunit ribosomal RNA
Source: RNAcentral